GCCUACGGGGCGCAGCAGUGGGGAAUAUUGCUCAAUGGGGGAAACCCUGAUGCAGCGACGCCGCGUGAGUGAAGAAGUAUUUCGGUAUGUAAACCUCUAUCAGCAGGGAAGAAAAUGACGGUACCUGACUAAGAAGCCCCGGCUAACUACGUGCCAGCAGCCGCGGUAAUGCGUAGGGGGCAAGCGUUAUCCGGAAUUACUGGGUGUAAAGGGAGCGUAGACGGCUAAGUAAGUCUGGAGUGAAAUGCCUGGGCUUAACCCCGGAACUGCUCUGGAAACUAUUGAACUUGAGUGAAGGAGAGGUA
This 305-nucleotide ribosomal RNA is filed under the name uncultured bacterium. Its description in RNAcentral is "bacterial SSU rRNA". It matches the Rfam family "Bacterial small subunit ribosomal RNA", at positions 337 to 659 of the family's 1533-position model. The record is from RNAcentral.